This 341-nucleotide unclassified non-coding RNA is filed under the name air metagenome. RNAcentral's name for it is "partial contains small subunit ribosomal RNA, internal transcribed spacer 1, and 5.8S ribosomal RNA". The record is from RNAcentral.
AAGUCGUAACAAGGUUUCCGUAGGUGAGUAAAGAUCCCAUCUUUUUAUUAUUCUGUUUUUUUUUUGAUACCGUUACUGACUAUGAUUUUAUAGGUGAACCUGCGGAAGGAUCAUUACUGAGUUAGGGCCCUCUGGGCCCGAACCUCCAACCCUUAUGUUUACCAAACCAUGUUGCUUCGGCGGGCCCGUCCUCUCUCGAGAGGGCCGCCGGAGGGGGUCACACCCUUCUGGCCCGUUGCCCGUCGACAGCCAUCAAACCAAAAUUCUUGAUUAAAACCAUGUCGUCUGAGUCUGAAUUUAUAAUUAAAUCAAAACUUUCAACAACGGAUCUCUUGGUUCUG